GUCCUCGUAGUACAACGGAUAGUACAAGUGCCUCCUAAGCGCUAGAUACAGGUUCGAUUCCUGUCGGGGAUACCA
This 75-nucleotide transfer RNA is filed under the name Iodobacter fluviatilis. RNAcentral's name for it is "tRNA-Arg(cct)". It matches the Rfam family "tRNA". Rfam says of the family: Transfer RNA (tRNA) molecules are approximately 80 nucleotides in length. Their secondary structure includes four short double-helical elements and three loops (D, anti-codon, and T loops). Further hydrogen bonds mediate the characteristic L-shaped molecular structure. tRNAs have two regions of fundamental functional importance: the anti-codon, which is responsible for specific mRNA codon recognition, and the 3' end, to which the tRNAs corresponding amino acid is attached (by aminoacyl-tRNA synthetases). tRNAs cope with the degeneracy of the genetic code in two manners: having more than one tRNA (with a specific anti-codon) for a particular amino acid; and 'wobble' base-pairing, i.e. permitting non-standard base-pairing at the 3rd anti-codon position. Lineage: Bacteria; Pseudomonadati; Pseudomonadota; Betaproteobacteria; Neisseriales; Chitinibacteraceae. RNAcentral also lists the same sequence under 6 other names. The record is from RNAcentral.